GACGAACGCUGGCGGCGUGCUUAACACAUGCAAGUCGAACGGGCCUUGUCCCCUUUUUUUUUGGGGGUGGGGUUAGUGGCGAACGGGUGAGUAACACGUGAGUAACCUGCCCCUCACUUCUGGAUAACCGCUUGAAAGGGUGGCUAAUACGGGGUGUUCUGGCCUGCUCGCAUGGGUGGGUUUGGAAAGAUUCGACCGGUUUUGGUUGUUUUGGUGGGGGAUGGGCUCGCGGCCUAUCAGCUUGUUGGUGGGGUGAUGGCCUGCCAAGGCUUUGACGGGUAGCCGGCCUGAGAGGGUGGGCGGUCACACUGGGACUGAGACGCGGCCCAGACUCCUACGGGAGGCAGCAGUGGGGAAUAUUGCACAAGGGGCGCAAGCCGGAUGCAGCGACGCCGCGUGAGGGAUGGAGGCCUUCGGGUUGUGAACCUCUUUCGCCAGUGAAGAAGGUCCUGCUCUUUGUGGUGGGGUUGACGGUAGCUGGGUUAAUGAAGCGCCGGCUAACUACGUG
RNAcentral lists this ribosomal RNA (508 nucleotides) under uncultured bacterium. Its description in RNAcentral is "partial 16S ribosomal RNA". It matches the Rfam family "Bacterial small subunit ribosomal RNA", at positions 28 to 507 of the family's 1533-position model. The record is from RNAcentral.